Molecule: ribosomal RNA, 468 nt
Filed under: uncultured bacterium
Lineage: Bacteria
Description: partial 16S ribosomal RNA
Rfam family: Bacterial small subunit ribosomal RNA
Source: RNAcentral
GACGAACGCUGGCGGCGUGCUUAACACAUGCAAGUCGAACGGAAAGGCCCUGCUUUUGUGGGGUGCUCGAGUGGCGAACGGGUGAGUAACACGUGAGUAACCUGCCCUUGACUUUGGGAUAACUUCAGGAAACUGGGGCUAAUACCGGAUAGGAGCUCCUGCUGCAUGGUGGGGGUUGGAAAGUUUCGGCGGUUGGGGAUGGACUCGCGGCUUAUCAGCUUGUUGGUGGGGUAGUGGCUUACCAAGGCUUUGACGGGUAGCCGGCCUGAGAGGGUGACCGGCCACAUUGGGACUUAGAUACGGCCCAGACUCCUACGGGAGGCAGCAGUGGGGAAUAUUGCACAAUGGUCGGAAGCCUGAUGCAGCAACGCCGCGUGCGGGAUGACGGCCUUCGGGUUGUAAACCGCUUUCGCCUGUGACGAAGCGUGAGUGACGGUAAUGGGUAAAGAAGCACCGGCUAACUACGUG